GCUUUCGAUGGGGUGAAACGCACUGGCGGCCAAAGGGUUAACGCGUUAAGUUGAUGAAGUUCUCGUGGGAAAUAAAAGAAUACCUGGUUUUAACUUAACCACGACCCACAAAGAUGGAUUUCGUGAGGUUGUUAGGAUGAGGCAGCGCAUAGAUUUGGGUUUAUGGGGUGUGGUUGCUAAAUGCCUUAUGUUUGUAAGUGCUUAUGUGCGUUUAUCCGCGCCACUGUGUCUGUGCGCUUUCCCCCUACUUUUAUGCACCAGUUGUACUUGUCCGAAUAUCUGCUUCUCACCGUUAGUCCAAAAAAGCUCAGCCUCCGCAAUGCUACCAUUGGCUCCGUCACAGCCCCAAGCGGUUCUGACAUGUCGCUAACUCCUGCUUGGUUAAUUAAGUUUUCAAUCACCAGACAGAGGGUGAUAAUAAAUCGCAUUGAUAAUUCAUCGAAGCCCGUCCUUCAUUAUCGCAGGAAUAGGAGGGGCGCUGAGGUCUUUUCCUAAGCAUGUACAACUUAUAAGAUGUUGUGGUUUCUGUAACGAAAUAUGGUAGACCGAUGACCUAAUUGUGGAAACUCUUGUCGAGAGGUUUAUUGAUCUGACAGGAUGAAGGACUUGAUUUAACAUCAGCAAAGGCCUAGGACACUGAGAAGGCUUGUGGUAUUCCCACAAAGAUCCUAGCUAAAGGCCUGCGCGCUCAGCAGUGACGAGCAAUUAAACCUGGAUCUAUCCUAAUCUCGGCCCGGACAAUCUCAAAGGCCAACCUCCCAUCUAUAGAAUCCAUCUAUCAGGACCAUUGUCAAGGAAAGGCGGCUAGCCUUCUCAAAGAUCCAUCCCACCCUGGCAAUCCUUUUCUACAACCUCUACCAUUGGGGAGAAGGUACAGAAGCCUGAACACACACACCAGCCGAUUUUGUAACAGUUUCUAUUUUACUGUUUUUAGAAUAAUGAAUAGACUCACAAUCUCUUAACAUUUGCCUUAACUGUGCUUUUGCUUUUGUCACUGUUUACCUAUUAUUUACU
Chiloscyllium plagiosum (whitespotted bambooshark) is the source of this 1014-nucleotide non-coding RNA. NCBI's taxonomy places the organism in Eukaryota, Metazoa, Chordata, Chondrichthyes, Orectolobiformes, Hemiscylliidae. The record is from RefSeq and is a predicted model, not a curated record.